UCUGUGAUAAGAACAAGACGAUGUAAUUGACAAGGCUGUGCGUAAAUCUUCUAAUAGUCGUCUCAUAAUUAAAGCUCGUCUCGAGAGUUUAAAUACAAGUUCUUUGGAAUUUAUGUUACGACACAUAUCGGUAGGGAACAAUGUGAGAAAUUUGACGUCGACUAGGUCAACGAAUUCUGUGUCACGCUGAUUGCCCACGAUAAUAGUGAAAUUUUUAUUACAAGAUACAAGAUGUUUUACGAUUCAGUUCAGCGAGCUGAACGCGUCUAGAACGUGUCUGGACGUUUUCCUUCAAAUCAGGAAACGUACUAAUUACUUCCAUCAAAGUCGGGCGGCCACGAGCCUGCUUGAAGGGAAAAAAUGCGAAAAGGAGAAAAUAAAAGGGAGAAGAAAAAUGAAAAAAGAGAAAAGAAAGAACGGAAAGAAUGAAAGAAUCGGAGAGAAACGAAGAACACGAGAUAUGCCUGGUGAUUAAAACCAGCGAGCCGACCGACACACGAAACACUGACAGUUCUGACAGUCGACAGGAUUGUGGGCGGUGAGAGGCGUGAGCCCCUUCUGGCGCAAUGGAAAUUCGCAAGAAAAUAAAAUAACCACCGCCCUCCCCUUUAGCCCGCCCUUUGUAUCUGCCGAGAAGAAGCGUCCCUAAUUGAUCCCAUUUCGUGUCAUGCCACGAGAUUCGCUGCUGCACGUUCUACCACAACUUCUCGGGAUCCUUUAUCUUCCAGAUAAACACCCGUCGUUUAAAAACUACUAAAAAGUUCUAGAGAGAGGUUUAUACAUCAUACUUUUAAUGCACGUGGAACGAAUGUGAAUAUCAUUAACGUGUUUACAUUCUGUGCAACGUAAGUAUAGUGCUUGAAGGUACGCUUCUUCUUAGUAGGAGAUUUAAGAAUGGAUUCCAAAAUUUUUACAAAUUUUGGUUAAAGAGAUGCAAAUGCAAAUAAAAUGCACGGAAUAUAAAAUAUCCGAAUAUCCUUAUGAUAUUUAAUCUUUUUCACUCCUCGACUCGACAUCAGUUUUUAUCUGAGGAGCUCCUUUGUCGAGUUCCACUCGACAUUCUUUCAUUCCCACCUUUUUUGUGAAACGUGCGAAAGAAAACCAGGAUUGCAUCCUGGAAAUUGUUUCAAGAUAUAUCAUAUACUUAAAAAUUACAAAAUACAACAAUAGUGUGAAUAAAACUGGUAUUUAAAUGAAUUUGUUUCUUCCUUUAUUUAUUUAAAUUGUCUUAUUUUUUAGUUAAAGUAAAUUUCAAAUAAAACACUUAAAAGCGUUGGCAGCUGCUGGUAACGAAAUUGAA
Molecule: unclassified non-coding RNA, 1300 nt
Filed under: Bombus terrestris (buff-tailed bumblebee)
Lineage: Eukaryota; Metazoa; Arthropoda; Insecta; Hymenoptera; Apidae
Description: misc RNA ENSBTSG00005027231.1
Source: RNAcentral